Long non-coding RNA from Vespa crabro (European hornet), 2379 nucleotides. RefSeq lists it as uncharacterized. The record is from RefSeq and is a predicted model, not a curated record. NCBI's taxonomy places the organism in Eukaryota, Metazoa, Arthropoda, Insecta, Hymenoptera, Vespidae. The transcript is spliced from 4 exons.
ACAUUGGGACGAGUAAGACGUGUGUUAUUAUCCGUCAUAUUUGUUAUGUGUAGAUCGCAGCUACGGGGUGAAUUUUCUCCACGUCACAUGACGUCACAUUACCCCCACUGCCAGAUAGGUCUAUGUGACAUGAAUUAUGAUACGUCGUCGCACCUACCUAACUUAACCUACUCUCUCCAAUUUUGUGCUGAUAAUAAUUUAUAUAAUAUAAAUAAUUUAAAAAUAAAACAAUAGUAGAAUAUUAAAUAAUAUUUUAUAAUAUAUUUUUUUGCCAGAUUUAUUAUUUAGAAGAAAAUAUUGAUUUAUCUGGCAGUAUUUAUACAAACAUGAAACGUUAUUUGUGAAAUAUGGCCAUUAUCUUCAGUCAUGGUUUAGUUCUCGUAGAAUAUAUUUCGUUCGCAUUAAAGUCUUAUAUACAUCUUUAAAUAUGGAAUAUCAAAGGAAGCAUUUCCGGCAUAUAAUGGUUCAUUGUUUCAAAAAAGACUACAAUGUUAAAUAUACCACAGCUGAGAUUUGCAUCGUAUAUUGUAGUGGUUCUAUAAGUAUUCAGACAGUUCGCUUUUGGUUUAAGAGGUUUGAAAAGGAUAAUUUUAAUUUAGAAGAUGAACGCAGCAGCCGUCCUAGCAAUACGGAUACUGAACUAAUCAAGCCCGUUGUUAAUGAAAAUCUGCGAUAUAACAUUCGUGAAUUGCCAAAUAUUUCAAACAUUUCGCGAACAACAGUGCAUAAUCAUUUUUUAGAAAUCGGCUAGUUCAAUUUCUCUGAAUUAUGGAUUCCGCCUCAGAGAACAAUCUCGAGUGUGUUUUGAGCUGUGAUUUUCUUCUUUAGUAAAAUAAGAUCGAUUCAUUUUUGGUUAGAUUGGUUACUGAGGAUGAGAUGUGAAUUACAUAUGAAAAUAUACGUAAAUGACCUUCGUCCAGUGAUAAUUCUACGGUAACAAGAUCUGAUCUUCACCUGAAGAAAGUUUUGAUGUUCAUUUUGUGGGACUGCAAGGAUGUCAUUAUGAACUGCUUUCACCAGGUGAAACAAUUAAUUCAAUGAAAUAUUGUUCCUAAUUGGACAAAUUGAAGGAAACAAUCACUACAAAAAGGUGAGAACGAACAAAUGAAGCCGUUGUUUAUCAGUAACGCCAGGCUUUAUGUAUCUUCAGUCAUUAGAAACAAAUUGUUAUCAUUUGAUUGAGAUGUUCUACCUCAUCCGACAUAUUCUCCGGAUACUGCCCCGUGUGAUUAUUGCUUAUUUCUUACAUUAAACCAUUCUCUUUGCGCUAAACAAUUGACUACAAUAAAUGACAAAAGUGUUCCUAGAACGAUAUUUUGAUAGCAAACCUCAAAAGUUUUAGAAGAAUGCCAUUCUGCAGCUUCUAGAGAAAUGGAGAAAGGUAAUCAAGAAAAAUGGAGAACACAUAAUGCAGAUAUAAAAUAAUAUAAAACAAAAAAAAAUUGGGACAACUUAAUAUUUCCAAACGUAUCGAAGAUUUAAAAGUUGCUAAGUUGAAAAGAGAAUCAGCAAAGCUUUUGUGAUUCUGAGCUUUUGAAGAAGAUUAUAUUUGAAAUAGAAAAAUACAAUAAAGAUUAUUACAGGAUCUAGAAAUUGUAAUUUCUCAAGAUGCAAAGAGAAAAAAAAGUGAAACCAAUCGUAAUUAAUAUUUUUCCAAUAUGGCUAGUUUCUUAAAAGCAAAGAAACUUUGAUGAAAAUGCUCAAUAUAUUUAUUAUAUAUGAGACGUGAGCUCGCGUGUGUGUGUCUUACAUUAUAUACGUAUUUUUGCUACAAUGGAAAAGAAACUACAAAAAAGGCAAUGCAAGAACUAUACUUAUCAAAAACGAAGAAAAUUCCAAAAGCACUAACCACUAAAAUUAAAAUUUCAAAACCGGAAGCUACGACUAACAAAGUCGCUACUGAAAAAUAAUUCUAUUAGGCAAAGUGACAUUUAAUAUUUAUGUGAGUAUGUAUGAAUGUUCCACGUUAUGUAAAAUUAUACUGUAUUAUGCAAAUACUGUGUACAAUUUGUAAACUUUGUAUCAAAACUGCAUUUAUAAAUGUCGCAUUAAGCAAGUGUUACAUGUAAGAUAAACAUGAUAUCAUACGUGGAGAUAAAAAAAAUUCAAUAACUUGCAAAAAUUAUAAUAAUCCACCUGAAUUCUGUAUGUAGAAGAGGAUGUAUAUGCAUACGGGGACAUAUAUUUAACAACAAAAGAAAAUGUGUUUUACCCAGUAAAUGUUAAUCUCUCAUCUCAGUGAAAAAUGUACUUGGAGAAGUUCUGUGAAAACAUCUAAUUUAACCAGGUGGAAAAACCCACAUAUGUGCUGGAAUAAAAUGUAAUUAUGGUAUAAUUCUUGAAAUAUCUUUUUCUUACAUCUGAAAUUUGUUUUAUUUU